RNAcentral lists this ribosomal RNA (190 nucleotides) under uncultured bacterium. RNAcentral describes it as "partial 16S ribosomal RNA". It matches the Rfam family "Bacterial small subunit ribosomal RNA", at positions 1312 to 1500 of the family's 1533-position model. The record is from RNAcentral.
UCGACUGCAUGAAGUCGGAAUCGCUAGUAAUCGCAGAUCAGCAAAGCUGCGGUGAAUACGUUCCCGGGCCUUGUACACACCGCCCGUCACACCACGGGAGUCGGUCGCGCCUGAAGCCGGUGGCCUAUCAGUAAUGGGGGAGCCGUCUAUGGCGAGAUUGGUAACUGGGGUGAAGUCGUAACAAGGUACC